CUUGAAGACCAUAGAGAUUGGUAAGGGAAAAGUUCCUUGUCUUGAAGUAUUGAAGAUAGGGAGAUGCCAUCAAAUGAUAAGGCUCCCCAAAGAUAUACUAAACUUGAAGCAUCUUGAAAAGCUUUAUCUUUAUGAUAUGCAUGAACAGUUUAUAAAAAGAUUAUUUGAUGAGCAAAGUGAAGACUAUAAGAUUAUUAACAAAAUACCUCUCGUGGAAUACUCCAACAACGACCAUUUUGCCUCUUUUUCAUGAUAUUCAUUCUUGAAGACAGAUCUACAGUUUGGUCGAAAUGGGAAGCCUCGGACAACAACUUCGUUGGAGCAAGUUGAUGGUUCGUCAUUAUUUUUCAACGAUGUAUGUUUGCACUUUGAACGAACACUUGACGGAUGUGUGUAGAGGAGCAAAAAUCUAUAAUUGAAGAGCUUAAAAGGAAGAUCAAUGUCGUAGAGGCAGAGUUGGUGGUAGAGAAGGCCAGAAGAAGAACUAAAAGCACAACUAAAGAUGAUGGUGAACAAAGUCCUGCACGUCCACAAGCAUUCACUAACAGUAACAGUGCAUUUUUUUCCCCUGGUGGAAUGUCAAGCAACGAACCAGGUGAAAUGUGCAAGACCGAACAAGGUGGAAUGUCGCCAAACGCACCGGGUGGAAUGUCCAACAACCAAUCACAGUUGAAGACGUACGUUAGGAUUGGAUCAAGAAGGCGUUAUAAGAGUCAAACACUUAGGACACCAUACACCGCAAGUGUAGUAGUUAGAAAGAAAAAUGACUAAUUAUUGUAUUAGACU
Long non-coding RNA from Vigna radiata var. radiata (mung bean), 786 nucleotides. RefSeq lists it as uncharacterized. NCBI's taxonomy places the organism in Eukaryota, Viridiplantae, Streptophyta, Magnoliopsida, Fabales, Fabaceae. The transcript has 3 exons. The record is from RefSeq and is a predicted model, not a curated record.